AUUGAACGCUGGCGGCAUGCUUUACACAUGCAAGUCGAACGGCAGCGCGGGCUUCGGCCUGGCGGCGAGUGGCGAACGGGUGAGUAAUGCAUCGGAACGUGCCCAGUAGUGGGGGAUAGCGCGGCGAAAGCCGGAUUAAUACCGCAUACGACCUGAGGGUGAACGCGGGGGACCGAAAGGCCUUGCGCUAUUGGAGCGGCCGAUGUCGGAUUAGCUAGUUGGUGGGGUAAAGGCUUACCAAGGCGACGAUCCGUAGCUGGCCUGAGAGGACGACCAGCCACACUGGGACUGAGACACGGCCCAGACUCCUACGGGAGGCAGCAGUGGGGAAUUUUGGACAAAGGGGGCAACCCUGAUCCAGCCAUGCCGCGUGCGUGAAGAAGGCCUUCGGGUUGUAAACCGCUUUUGUUCGGGAAGAAAUCCUCUGGGCUAAUACCCCGGGGGGAUGACGGUACCGGAAGAAUAAGCACCGGCUAACUACGUG
RNAcentral lists this ribosomal RNA (484 nucleotides) under uncultured bacterium. RNAcentral describes it as "partial 16S ribosomal RNA". It matches the Rfam family "Bacterial small subunit ribosomal RNA", at positions 28 to 507 of the family's 1533-position model. The record is from RNAcentral.